CAACUACUCCCUCUGUCCCAAAUUUCUUGUCUUAGAUUUGUCUAGAUACGGAUGUAUCUAAUACUAAAGUGUGACUUGAUACAUCCGUAUCUAGACAAAUCUAAGACAAGAAUUUUGGGAUGGAGGGAGUACUUU
Molecule: non-coding RNA, 135 nt
Organism: Triticum aestivum (bread wheat)
Lineage: Eukaryota; Viridiplantae; Streptophyta; Magnoliopsida; Poales; Poaceae
Source: Rfam